UCUAAUAUGGCAGAAUUAAUGCAAUGAAUUUAAGCUUCAUUAAUAAAGUUUAAACUUUUUUUAGAA
This 66-nucleotide transfer RNA is filed under the name Melanotrichia acclivopennis. Its description in RNAcentral is "tRNA-Leu". Lineage: Eukaryota; Metazoa; Arthropoda; Insecta; Trichoptera; Xiphocentronidae. The record is from RNAcentral.